This 261-nucleotide ribosomal RNA is filed under the name uncultured bacterium. RNAcentral describes it as "partial 16S ribosomal RNA". It matches the Rfam family "Bacterial small subunit ribosomal RNA", at positions 97 to 354 of the family's 1533-position model. The record is from RNAcentral.
CCGGCACGGGUGAGUAACGCGUAUGCGACCUGCCCGUUGCAGGGGGAUAAUCGGGAGAAACCCCGUCUAAUACCGCGUAAUGCCGCGGGGCUGCAUGGCCCUGCGGCCAAAGGGAGCGAUUCCGGCAACGGAUGGGCAUGCGUGACAUUAGCUAGUUGGCGGGGCAACGGCCCACCAAGGCGACGAUGUCUAGGGGUUCUGAGAGGAAGGUCCCCCACACUGGUACUGAGACACGGACCAGACUCCUACGGGAGGCAGCAG